UACGUAGGGGCGAGCGUUGUCCGGAUUUACUGGGCGUAAAGGGAGCGUAGGCGGACUUUUAAGUGAGAUGUGAAAUACCCGGGCUUAACUUGGGUGCUGCAUUUCAAACUGGAAGUCUAGAGUGCAGGAGAGGAGAAUGGAAUUCCUAGUGUAGCGGUGAAAUGCGUAGAGAUUAGGAAGAACACCAGUGGCGAAGGCGAUUCUCUGGACUGUAACUGACGCUGAGGCUCGAAAGCGUGGGGAGCAAACAGGAUUAGAUACCCUGGUAGU
RNAcentral lists this ribosomal RNA (270 nucleotides) under uncultured prokaryote. RNAcentral describes it as "partial 16S ribosomal RNA". It matches the Rfam family "Bacterial small subunit ribosomal RNA", at positions 524 to 794 of the family's 1533-position model. The record is from RNAcentral.